UGGGGAAUAUUGGACAAUGGGCGAAAGCCUGAUCCAGCAACGCCGCGUGAGGGAUGACGGCCUUCGGGUUGUAAACCUCUUUCAGCAGGGACGAAGCGAGAGUGACGGUACCUGCAGAAGAAGCACCGGCCAACUACGUGCCAGCAGCCGCGGUAAUACGUAGGGUGCAAGCGUUGUCCGGAAUUAUUGGGCGUAAAGGGCUCGUAGGCGGUCCAUCGCGUCGGGAGUGAAAAGCUGGGGCUCAACCCCAGUCCUGCUUCCGAUACGGGUGGACUAGAGGUAGGCAGGGGAGAACGGAAUUCCUGGUGUAGCGGUGAAAUGCGCAGAUAUCAGGAGGAACACCGGUGGCGAAGGCGGUUCUCUGGGCCUUACCUGACGCUGAGGAGCGAAAGCGUGGGGAGCAAACA
This 407-nucleotide ribosomal RNA is filed under the name uncultured Nocardioides sp. RNAcentral's name for it is "bacterial SSU rRNA". It matches the Rfam family "Bacterial small subunit ribosomal RNA", at positions 355 to 774 of the family's 1533-position model. The record is from RNAcentral. Lineage: Bacteria; Bacillati; Actinomycetota; Actinomycetes; Propionibacteriales; Nocardioidaceae. RNAcentral also lists the same sequence under 1 other name.